RNAcentral lists this ribosomal RNA (434 nucleotides) under uncultured bacterium. RNAcentral describes it as "partial 16S ribosomal RNA". It matches the Rfam family "Bacterial small subunit ribosomal RNA", at positions 29 to 507 of the family's 1533-position model. The record is from RNAcentral.
AGCGAACGCUGGCGGCAGGCCUAACACAUGCAAGUCGAACGAACCUUUCGGGGUUAGUGGCGGACGGGUGAGUAACACCUAGGAACGUGCCAUUAGGUUAGGAAUAACUCAGGGAGACUUGUGCUAAUACCGAAUGUGCCCUUUGGGGGCAAGAUUGAUCGCGCUUGGAGGGGGCGGCGUGUGGUUAGCUGGUUGGUUGAGGUAAGGUAUCACCAAGGCAACGAUCUGUGGCUGGUUUGAGAGGACGACCAGGCACCUUGGGACUGAGACACGGCCAAAACUUCUCGGGGAGGAAGCAGUGGGGACUCUUGCGCAAUGGGCGAAAGCCUGACGCAGCCAUGCCGCGUAAAUGAGGAAGGUCUUAGGAUUGUAAAAUUCUUUCACCGGGGACGAUAAUGACGGUACCCGGAGAAGAAGCCCCGGCUAACUUCGUG